Molecule: transfer RNA, 76 nt
Filed under: termite gut metagenome
Description: tRNA-Val
Rfam family: tRNA
About the family: Transfer RNA (tRNA) molecules are approximately 80 nucleotides in length. Their secondary structure includes four short double-helical elements and three loops (D, anti-codon, and T loops).
Source: RNAcentral
GGGCGUUUAGCUCAGUUGGUUCAGAGCAUCUGCCUUACAAGCAGAGGGUCGGCGGUUCGAAUCCGUCAACGCCCAC